Molecule: non-coding RNA, 148 nt
Organism: Pan troglodytes (chimpanzee)
Lineage: Eukaryota; Metazoa; Chordata; Mammalia; Primates; Hominidae
Rfam family: Metazoan signal recognition particle RNA
About the family: The signal recognition particle (SRP) is a universally conserved ribonucleoprotein. It is involved in the co-translational targeting of proteins to membranes.
Source: Rfam
GCCAGGUAUGGCAGUGCAUGCCUAUAGUCCCAGAUACUUCGGAGGCUGAGGUAGGAGGAUGGCUUGAGCCCAGGGGGCAGAGGUUGCAGUGAGCUGAGAUCAAGCCACUGCACUCCAGCCUGGGCAACACAGCCAGACCCUGUCUCAA